CAUAGCGGAGGAAAAGAAACCAACAGGGAUUGCCCUAGUAACGGCGAGUGAAGCGGCAACAGCUCAAAUUUGAAAGCUAGCCUUCGGGUUCGCAUUGUAAUUUGUAGAGGAUGCUUUGGGUAAAACGCCAGUCUAAGUUCCUUGGAACAGGACGUCAUAGAGGGUGAGAAUCCCGUAUGUGACUGGAAAUGUUAACCUAUGUAAAGCUCCUUCGACGAGUCGAGUUGUUUGGGAAUGCAGCUCUAAAUGGGAGGUAAAUUUCUUCUAAAGCUAAAUAUUGGCGAGAGACCGAUAGCGCACAAGUAGAGUGAUCGAAAGAUGAAAAGCACUUUGGAAAGAGAGUUAAAAAGCACGUGAAAUUGUUGAAAGGGAAGCGCUUGCAAUCAGACUUGUUUAAACUGUUCGGCCGGUCUUCUGACCGGUUUACUCAGUUUGGACAGGCCAGCAUCAGUUUCGGCGGCCGGAUAAAGGCUCUGGGAAUGUGGCCUCCACUUCGGUGGAGGUGUUAUAGCCCAGUGUGUAAUACGGCCAGCCGGGACUGAGGUCCGCGCUUCGGCUAGGAUGCUGGCGUAAUGGUUGUAAGCGACCCGUCUUG
This 595-nucleotide ribosomal RNA is filed under the name Aureobasidium sp. KCTC 26210. RNAcentral's name for it is "eukaryotic LSU rRNA". It matches the Rfam family "Eukaryotic large subunit ribosomal RNA", at positions 46 to 656 of the family's 3401-position model. Lineage: Eukaryota; Fungi; Ascomycota; Dothideomycetes; Dothideales; Saccotheciaceae. The record is from RNAcentral.